RNAcentral lists this unclassified non-coding RNA (314 nucleotides) under Hevea brasiliensis (rubber tree). Lineage: Eukaryota; Viridiplantae; Streptophyta; Magnoliopsida; Malpighiales; Euphorbiaceae. The record is from RNAcentral.
AAAAAAUAGAGAUGAUAUUCAAAAUGCAAAAGUAUAACAUAAGGUAAUUGUAAUUCUAGUUUUUUAAAGGCCCUAUUGUUUGGUGCAAUUCUAUGAGUUUUGGACGAGCAACCACAAAGGUGCAUGCUCAAAUCUGUUGAGAACAACCAUUUCAUACAAAAAUAUAGAAAGGAACUUCCCACACUCAGUCCAAAACUUUGAUCUAUGUGAUACUUAUUGAUUGCUUCCUAAUAUUGAGUGAUCAAUAACAUUUACUACAUCCAUCAUCUAACCACAUAGACAUUUUUUUUACUGACAAGAACAUAAAGGGAAAA